UACAGAGGGUGCAAGCGUUAUCCGGAUUCACUGGGUUUAAAGGGUGCGUAGGCGGAUAGGUAAGUCCGUGGUGAAAUCCUGCAGCUUAACUGCAGAACUGCCGUGGAUACUAUCUAUCUUGAAUGUCGUGGAGGUUAGCAGAAUAUGUCAUGUAGCGGUGAAAUGCUUAGAUAUGACAUAGAAUACCCAUUGCGAAGGCAGCUAACUACGCGAUAAUUGACGCUGAUGCACGAAAGCGUGGGGAUCAAACAGG
This 253-nucleotide ribosomal RNA is filed under the name uncultured bacterium. RNAcentral's name for it is "partial 16S ribosomal RNA". It matches the Rfam family "Bacterial small subunit ribosomal RNA", at positions 524 to 776 of the family's 1533-position model. The record is from RNAcentral.